Molecule: ribosomal RNA, 426 nt
Filed under: uncultured bacterium
Lineage: Bacteria
Description: partial 16S ribosomal RNA
Rfam family: Bacterial small subunit ribosomal RNA
Source: RNAcentral
GUGAGGAAUUUUCCGCAAUGAGCGAAAGCCUGACGGAGCAAUGCCGCGUGAAGGAUGAAGGCCUAUGGGUUGUAAACUUCUUUUCUCAGAAAAGAAUUAUGACGGUAUCUGAGGAAUAAGCAUCGGCUAACUCUGUGCCAGCAGCCGCGGUAAGACAGAGGAUGCAAGCGUUAUCCGGAAUGAUUGGGCGUAAAGCGUCUGUAGGUUGUUUAAAAAGUAUUCUGUCAAAGAUUAGGGCUUAACCCUAGAUAGGCAGAAUAAACUUUUAAGCUAGAGUUUGGUAGAGGCAGAGGGAAUUCCCGGUGGAGCGGUGAAAUGCGUAGAUAUCGGGAGGAACACCAAAGGCGAAGGCACUCUGCUGGGCCAAUACUAACACUGAGAGACGAAAGCGAGGGGAGCAAAUGGGAUUAGAUACCCGGGUAGUCC